AACGAACGCUGGCGGCAGGCCUAACACAUGCAAGUCGAGCGCCCUUUCGGGGGAGCGGCGGACGGGUGAGUAACGCGUGGGAAUAUGCCCUUCUCUACGGAAUAGCCUCGGGAAACUGAGAGUAAUACCGUAUACGCCCUGUGGGGGAAAGAUUUAUCGGGGAAGGAUUAGCCCGCGUUGGAUUAGGUAGUUGGUGGGGUAAUGGCCUACCAAGCCGACGAUCCAUAGCUGGUUUGAGAGGAUGAUCAGCCACACUGGGACUGAGACACGGCCCAGACUCCUACGGGAGGCAGCAGUGGGGAAUCUUAGACAAUGGGGGCAAACCUGAUCUAGCCAUGCCGCGUGAGUGAUGAAGGCCUUAGGGUUGUAAAGCUCUUUCAGCUGGGAAGAUAAUGACGGUACCAGCAGAAGAAGCCCCGGCUAACUCCGUG
Molecule: ribosomal RNA, 431 nt
Filed under: uncultured bacterium
Lineage: Bacteria
Description: partial 16S ribosomal RNA
Rfam family: Bacterial small subunit ribosomal RNA
Source: RNAcentral